GGUUGUGGCUCAAUGGUAGAGCACUUGCCUAGCAUGUGUGAGGCGCUGGGUUCCAUCCUCAGCACCA
RNAcentral lists this transfer RNA (67 nucleotides) under Marmota monax (woodchuck). Its description in RNAcentral is "tRNA.Ala". Lineage: Eukaryota; Metazoa; Chordata; Mammalia; Rodentia; Sciuridae. The record is from RNAcentral.